GGGGAUGUGGCUCAAGUGGUAGUGCGCUCACCUAGUAUGUGUGACGCACUGGGUUCAAUUCUCAGCACCACCA
Non-coding RNA from Ictidomys tridecemlineatus (thirteen-lined ground squirrel), 73 nucleotides. Lineage: Eukaryota; Metazoa; Chordata; Mammalia; Rodentia; Sciuridae. The record is from Rfam.